UCUGGCAUGGUCUAGUGGUUAGGAUACCUGGCUCAAACAGGAAGACCGGGUUCAAUUCCCGGUGCGGAA
Molecule: non-coding RNA, 69 nt
Organism: Trichonephila inaurata madagascariensis
Lineage: Eukaryota; Metazoa; Arthropoda; Arachnida; Araneae; Nephilidae
Source: the annotation of a GenBank genome assembly